This 279-nucleotide ribosomal RNA is filed under the name uncultured bacterium. RNAcentral describes it as "partial 16S ribosomal RNA". It matches the Rfam family "Bacterial small subunit ribosomal RNA", at positions 506 to 784 of the family's 1533-position model. The record is from RNAcentral.
UGCCAGCCGCCGCGGUAAGACGGAGGGUGCAAACGUUGUUCGGAAUUACUGGGCAUAAAGCGCACGUAGGCGGCCAGAUCAGUUUGGUGUGAAAGCCCUCGGCUCAACCGGGGAACUGCAUCGAAUACUGUCUGGCUCGAGGACGGUUGGGGUGAGUGGAACUCCUGGUGGAGCGGUGAAGUGCGUAGAUAUCAGGAGGAACACCAGUGGCGAAAGCGGCUCACUGGACCGUAUCUGACGCUGAGGUGCGAAAGCUAGGGUAGCGAACGGGAUUAGAUA